GGGUUGCGGCUCAGUGGUAGAGCGUGUGCCUAGCAUGUGCGAGGCCCUGGGUUCGAUCCUCAGCAUCACA
This 70-nucleotide transfer RNA is filed under the name Marmota monax (woodchuck). Its description in RNAcentral is "tRNA.Ala". The record is from RNAcentral. Lineage: Eukaryota; Metazoa; Chordata; Mammalia; Rodentia; Sciuridae.